Molecule: transfer RNA, 66 nt
Filed under: Amphioctopus fangsiao
Lineage: Eukaryota; Metazoa; Mollusca; Cephalopoda; Octopoda; Octopodidae
Description: tRNA-Leu
Source: RNAcentral
AUAGAGUUGGCAGAAUUAUGUGAGUAAUUUAGGGUUAUUUUAUAAAAGUUUGACUUUUACUUUAUA